This 402-nucleotide ribosomal RNA is filed under the name Triticum aestivum (bread wheat). Its description in RNAcentral is "partial small subunit ribosomal RNA". The record is from RNAcentral. Lineage: Eukaryota; Viridiplantae; Streptophyta; Magnoliopsida; Poales; Poaceae.
AUGUGGCCGGUCAGAGGGUUGAGGACGCGCGCUGCGUGAGGGGGCUCGAGGUCGGCGAGGACGAGUAAGCCGCAUGGAGUGGUGGUGAUGACAUCGUACUUCCGGAGCAGAGGAAGGUCCUUGCGCACCACGCGGGCGGUGACCAUGUUGACCAUCAGGCGCUCGUCGGUUUGGAAGACCUCGUCGACCAGGAUCCACCGGCGAGGGUGGAAGCGGACGUCGGAGGGAUUGCUCAUGGGGUCCUCGGCGGCGGAGCGCCAGCUGGUGCAGACGGCAGAAGUCCAUGUAGCAGUCCACGUCGUUGGUGGCGAGGAGGCAGUCGGCAAUGUGGCCGAGGAGCUCGGACGGGAGGGACGACCAGUCUGGCCCCAUGGCCGAAUCCGAACGGACGGCAGGUUUUGA